UGGAGGUCUGCCUGCCCCGCAACCACUUCCCUUCCCGUCUUCCCUCACACCCCUCUCCUCCUUUACAGCCAUCUUCUUCCCAUCUUCCCGACUGGCCGAUCCUGAUGGUCCUGCUAGUGCCUAAGUGCCUGUGAGUGAGGGAGGAAAAGAAGAGCAAGCAUAACUGAUCAGUGCAUAAGGGAAAAGGUCUGCCCAUUCCAUUGUCUUCAAGGUCCACAAGGCAAGUGUGAUUACACUCAUCAGUUCCAUUGAUGAACCCGUGGAGAGAAAUGAGGCCAGCAGCACUUUCUGCAGAAAUUCUAAACUAUUCACAAACAUAUGGAACAAUGCUCAAAAUUACUAAUAAUUAGGAAAAUGCCGAUUAAAGCAACUCUGUGGUUCUA
Vombatus ursinus (common wombat) is the source of this 383-nucleotide long non-coding RNA. RefSeq lists it as uncharacterized. The record is from RefSeq and is a predicted model, not a curated record. NCBI's taxonomy places the organism in Eukaryota, Metazoa, Chordata, Mammalia, Diprotodontia, Vombatidae. The transcript has 3 exons.